UGUCUGCGUUACUCUGCAGACAGUUACUCCUGUGCUGUAAAAGACCAUACAGUAUAAUAGAAAAGGUAUAAAAUGCCUGGUAUCUUACCUUGUUAUAACGUUUAAAAAAAACAUAUAUUUUUUUAUCCAUUUUAGAAUAAGUCUGUAACGUAACAAAAUGUGGAAAAAGUCAAGGGGUCUGAAAACUUUCCGAAUGCACUGUAAGUGUCUAUUUGUUUUUCCUUUUAAAUGAACCAGUCCAAUACAUUUAAAACACUUAGUCUCAUUAUCGUUUGAGGAAUUGAUCAGAUACAUUUUGUGUCAGAUGUUUGUUGUCAGAGCGGUUUGAAUGUGACUCACACCAAGAGGAUAUCUGAACAAAUGAACAAGUGGGAGUCUGGAGUUACUGCAGAUCUAAGCCAGGACACAGAGUGUGCAGGUAGUGUGAAGUACCUUCCAACUACAGACAACGACUCCACCCUGAGAAUCACAGACCUGAGAGAGAGUGACUCUGCUGAAUACAAGUUUAGAUUUACAACAACUGAGGUAAAAUGGGGAUACAGAUUACCUGGAAUAACUCAUGUCACAGGUAAUACUGUCCUUACAGUAUUAUAUAAUCUAGUCUGUCAUAUUAUUGGUAGAAAUAAUGAUGAUUGUGCUAUUUUGUCUUCAUUUACCCCUUUUCAGACUUGCAGGUGAAGGAGACUCCUGGCACAGAGGAAGGGAAGGUGACACUGACCUGUAGCACCACCUGUACUCUAACUGACAACCCCACCUACAUCUGGUACAAGAACGGACAUCUCACCAACCCAAACACCCAAGAUAACUGCCUCUCCCUAGACCAAGUCAGCAGUGAGGACGCAGUCUGCUACUCCUGUAGUGUUAAAGGUUAUGAGAAUCGCUGUUCUCCUGUUAUGUUCGUUGGGUAACCAAAGUCUUUGAAGAAUGCAGUUGUAGGAAUCAUAGUUGUUCUCAUUCUCAUACUCUGUGUCUUUGGGGUCAUGUGGUUCAGGAAGAAGGCCUCCAUAUCCACCUCUGACACAAGAGACAGAAGAGACACAGUAGAGAAUGGACAGGGAAAGCCCUAAUCGUUGCUCUCUCAGUGGGAGAGGCUUAUCAUCUGGGGAGCCUCAACAACAUCAUGAUGCUGACAAGACAGGGAAGAGUCUCUCUAGAUCAGAACACCUCAAGAAACGCCAGCAGUACGUAUAGGGAAGAAACCUUACCACUGCUGUUCUGACUGUGGGAAGAGUUUUGCUAAACAGAAGGAAUUGAUAUUUCACCAGCGGAUUCACACCGGUGUGAAACCGUACCACUGCUCUCAGUGUGGGAAGGGUUUCUCUGCAUCUAAAACCUUAAAAUCUCAUCAGAGAAUUCAUACAGGGGAGAGCCCUUACCCCUGCUUUGAUUGUGGAAAAUACUUCAAUCAAUUAGGAGCCCAGAUUACACACCAAUGCAUACACACUGGAGAGAAGUCUUAUAGCUGUGAUCAGUGUGGGAAGAGUUUUGCUCACGAUUCUACCCUGACUGCAAACCAACACACACACAGGAGAGAAGCCUUACAGCUGUCAUCAGUGUGGGAAGAGCUUCAGUCAUUCAGGAGACCUGACGAAGUCUCUCACUGUUGCCGCUUGCUAUAGACCUCCCUCUGCCCCCAGCUGUGCCGUCGAUACCAUAUGUGAAUUGA
Salmo salar (Atlantic salmon) is the source of this 1666-nucleotide non-coding RNA. Lineage: Eukaryota; Metazoa; Chordata; Actinopteri; Salmoniformes; Salmonidae. The record is from RefSeq and is a predicted model, not a curated record.